Molecule: ribosomal RNA, 590 nt
Filed under: uncultured Bacteroidales bacterium
Lineage: Bacteria; Pseudomonadati; Bacteroidota; Bacteroidia; Bacteroidales
Description: bacterial SSU rRNA
Rfam family: Bacterial small subunit ribosomal RNA
Source: RNAcentral
AAGACGGACUAAUACCGUAUGACGUCGUUUGCUGACAUCAAAUAACGAUUAAAGGUAUAGCGGUGAUGGAUGGGGAUGCGUCUGAUUAACUUGUUGGCGGGGUAACGGCCCACCAAGGCUACGAUCAGUAGGGGUUCUGAGAGGAAGGUCCCCCACAUUGGAACUGAGACACGGUCCAAACUCCUACGGGAGGCAGCAGUGAGGAAUAUUGGUCAAUGGGCGAGAGCCUGAACCAGCCAAGUAGCGUGCAGGAUGACGGCCCUAUGGGUUGUAAACUGCUUUUAUGCGGGGAUAAAGUGCGUGACGUGUCACGCAUUGCAGGUACCGCAUGAAUAAGGACCGGCUAAUUCCGUGCCAGCAGCCGCGGUAAUACGGAAGGUCCGGGCGUUAUCCGGAUUUAUUGGGUUUAAAGGGAGCGUAGGCCGCCAGGUAAGCGUGUUGUGAAAUGUACCGGCUCAACCGGNUGAAUUGCAGCGCGAACUGUCUGGCUUGAGUGCGCGGUAAGCAGGCGGAAUUCAUGGUGUAGCGGUGAAAUGCUUAGAUAUCAUGAAGAAUCUCCGAUUGCGAAGGCAGCUUGCUGCAGUGCGACU